Molecule: ribosomal RNA, 520 nt
Filed under: uncultured Glomus
Lineage: Eukaryota; Fungi; Glomeromycota; Glomeromycetes; Glomerales; Glomeraceae
Description: SSU rRNA
Rfam family: Eukaryotic small subunit ribosomal RNA
Source: RNAcentral
AGCAGCCGCGGUAAUUCCAGCUCCAAUAGCGUAUAUUAAAGUUGUUGCAGUUAAAAAGCUCGUAGUUGAAUUUCGGGAUUGACGUGAUGGUCAUGCCUUAAGGGGUAUGAACUGUUGCAGUUGAUUUCUCACCUUCUGGAGAAACUUGAUGUUCUUUAUUGGGUGUCUUGCGGAUCCAGGACCUUUACCUUGAAAAAAUUAGAGUGUUUAAAGCAGGCAUUUUUGCUCGAAUACAUUAGCAUGGAAUAAUAGAAUAGGACGGCAUGGUUCUAUUUUGUUGGUUUCUAGGAUCACCGUAAUGAUUAAUAGGGAUAGUUGGGGGCAUUAGUAUUCAAUUGUCAGAGGUGAAAUUCUUGGAUUUAUUGUAAGACUAACUACUGCGAAAGACAUUUGCCAAGGAUGUUUUCAUUAAUCAAAGAACGAAAGUUAGGGGAUCGAAGACGAUCAGAUAACCGUCGUAGUNUUAAACCAUAAACUAUAGCGACUAGGAAUCAGACGAUGUUAAUUUUUAAUAGACUUC